RNAcentral lists this ribosomal RNA (390 nucleotides) under uncultured bacterium. RNAcentral's name for it is "bacterial SSU rRNA". It matches the Rfam family "Bacterial small subunit ribosomal RNA", at positions 969 to 1360 of the family's 1533-position model. The record is from RNAcentral.
CCUUACCAGGGUUUGACAUCCUGCGAAUCUCCUGGAAACGGGAGAGUGCCUUCGGGAACGCAGUGACAGGUGGUGCAUGGCUGUCGUCAGCUCGUGUCGUGAGAUGUUGGGUUAAGUCCCGCAACGAGCGCAACCCACGUCUUUAGUUGCCAGCAUUCAGUUGGGCACUCUAGAGAGACCGCCGGUGAUAAACCGGAGGAAGGUGUGGAUGACGUCAAGUCAUCAUGCCCCUUACAUCCUGGGCUACACACGUACUACAAUGCUACGGACAAAGGGCAGCAAACUCGCGAGAGCUAGCAAAUCCCAUAAACCGUGGCUCAGUUCAGAUCGUAGGCUGCAACUCGCCUACGUGAAGGAGGAAUCGCUAGUAAUCGCAGGUCAGCAUGCGUC